GACCUUGCUACCAUAUAUUGUGUGUUUUCCUAGACAAGUUUAAGCAUUAAAAGUUAAAAAUCAUCCAUUGCCUAUUCUCUUUGCACUGAAGAGAUGCAACUUGCACUUGUCUCAUUCCAAUUUGGAGGGUAUAUUAUUCUAAUGAUCAUUUAAACUUUGCAAUGAUUUUUAUUGUGGUCACGAAACUUCAAUUUGUCAAAAUUUGGUCACUGAACUUUAAUUUAGUAACAUUCAAGGUACUCCAAAAGCAAGAAAGAAAUUAAG
This 264-nucleotide unclassified non-coding RNA is filed under the name Hevea brasiliensis (rubber tree). Lineage: Eukaryota; Viridiplantae; Streptophyta; Magnoliopsida; Malpighiales; Euphorbiaceae. The record is from RNAcentral.